GAUGAACGCUGGCGGCGUGCCUAAUACAUGCAAGUCGAGCGAACAGACGAUGAGGUUGCUCCUCUGACGUUAGCGGCGGACGGGUGAGUAAAACGUGGAUAACCUACCUAUAAGACUGGGAUAACUUCGGGAAACCGGAGCUAAUACCGGAAAAAAUAUUGAACCGCAUGGUUCCAUAGUGAAAGACGGUGUUUCUGUCACUUAUAGGUGGGUCCGCGCCGCAUUAGCGAGUUGGUAAGGGAAGGGCUUACCAAGGCACCGCUGCGUAGCCGACCUGAGAGGGUGAUCGGCCCCACGGGAACUGAGCCACGGUCCAGACUCCUACGGGAGGCAGCAGUAGGGAAUCUUCCGCAAUGGGCGAAAGCCUGACGGAGCAACGCCGCGUGAGUGAUGAAGGUCUUCGGAUCGUAAAACUCUGUUAUUAGGGAAGAACAAAUGUGUAAGUAACUAUGCACGUCUUGACGGUACCUAAUCAGAAAGCAACGGCUAACUACGUG
This 497-nucleotide ribosomal RNA is filed under the name uncultured bacterium. RNAcentral's name for it is "partial 16S ribosomal RNA". It matches the Rfam family "Bacterial small subunit ribosomal RNA", at positions 28 to 507 of the family's 1533-position model. The record is from RNAcentral.